Molecule: long non-coding RNA, 1297 nt
Organism: Oxyura jamaicensis (ruddy duck)
Lineage: Eukaryota; Metazoa; Chordata; Aves; Anseriformes; Anatidae
Exons: 3
Source: RefSeq, a predicted model, not a curated record
UGGGAGGAGGUGAGAAGGUGUGCCCUGGGAAGCUGCAUGGCCUGAUUUGAGGUCUCAUGAAGGACAGCAAGGAGCAGCUCACCUCCAGCCAGGAGCGGAUGAGGAGCUGACAAAUGCCUGUGGCCAUGCUGGGAAAAGGCUCCCUGAGGAAAUACUGAUAAGCAGCAGGGAUGCUGCACUUCUGGGCAUCCCCGUGAUGGCCCAAAGCAGCUGUGUUGGGGAGGAAGGAGCCCAAUUCCACCCUGCAGCCCCAGGCCACCCGAGCUUAUAGGUGCUGCCUGACCGCGUGCAUGGGGCCAGACCUGCUGAUAGCAUCGGGGAGACCUGGCCACAAUGGGACAGGGCUGUGUGAGCCUCUUCCUCUGUGGGUAUCUUGAGUCACCCUAAUAGCUGAUCCUGGUGGGGCUUCCUGCUCCAUGGGAUGUUGGUGAUGGAGCUCAGCUAAGAGGUAAAAGCUUGGGAAAUCCGUGGGAGACAGAGCAGUGAAAUAUAGGGAUGAUGAUAAAAACUUUGCCAUCUGCUCCAGGACAAACCAACUGUGGGGAGCACUCAGAACAGUGCCAACACGAACUUGUUCCUGCAAUGUGUCCGCAGCCCUGCUGGUGCAGGGACCUGCUGGAGGUGGCACCUCAGCUGCUGGUCCCUAACAUGAGCUGCUGUGCACCUGGAGCCAUCCCUUUAUUUCAGAGGUGGACGGGAAGCUGUGUGUUGCUGGUAACAGCUCAGCCAUCCAAGGAGAGGCUGUCCAAGAGGUUUUUCCUGGGACAGCACAACCACAGUUGUCCCAUCUGCGUGCCAUAGCCCCAACCCAGGUAUCUGUGAUACCCAGCUGAUAACCCCCCCCCCUUUAAACCACGGACCCAGGCAGAUUUCCCUCGCGGGGUGAGCAGAUCCAGUUUCAUCGCUAAUGGGUUUCCCAGGAUUUGCAGAUGUGAAUUGCUCGCAUUCCUGACUCCAAGGUGAGUGCAGGUGCAUCGGAUGGUCCCUGUGAGUCCUCCCCACCUCCCGGGCGAGUGCACAGAGCUGCUAUUGUGCGGCAAGGAGCAUCGCUGCCUCUGUGCCCCUGGGGUGCUCGGGGUGCUGCUGCCUGGGUGGUGUGGUUGCCUGCUCAAGGUCCCUGCUCCUUCUCCUGCAGGGAAGAAGCAGCUUUUGCAAGUGAGAGUCAAACCCUGACUGCCCCUUGGGCUCUUGUUCAGGGGUCCAAGGAAAAGCAGCCGUGGUUUCAAACCGCCCUCCUCGAAAUCGCUCUGCUCAGACUGCAGGACUAUUUAACGCGCUUCAGCUUCUUAUAAAGUUU